UAAAAAAUAUACCAGGGGAGAUACCAUGAUCACAAAGGAGGUUUUUCCAGGGUAAGGCUUAUCCAUUGCACUCCAGAUGUGUUCACCCCUGCAAUUUCCCCAAAUGUGGGAAACUUGACUGCAUGUUUUGUGGUAGUGGCAGAUUACAUUCAUGCUUUCCCU
Molecule: small nuclear RNA, 162 nt
Organism: Erinaceus europaeus (western European hedgehog)
Lineage: Eukaryota; Metazoa; Chordata; Mammalia; Eulipotyphla; Erinaceidae
Gene: U1
Rfam family: U1 spliceosomal RNA
About the family: U1 is a small nuclear RNA (snRNA) component of the spliceosome (involved in pre-mRNA splicing). Its 5' end forms complementary base pairs with the 5' splice junction, thus defining the 5' donor site of an intron.
Source: Ensembl